Molecule: long non-coding RNA, 581 nt
Filed under: Brachypodium distachyon (stiff brome)
Lineage: Eukaryota; Viridiplantae; Streptophyta; Magnoliopsida; Poales; Poaceae
Description: long non-coding RNA (BDIS_LNC005879)
Source: RNAcentral
UCUGUGUUUGACACUAUUCAUUGUAAAUUUUUCUUUUUAAUUCCUUUCAAAUGCUUUUGAUUUUGGACUUGAAGUUUUGUACGUUUGCAGAACAUCACACUCCCAACAUAUGGUAUUUUUUAGAAUUUUUUUUGAAACUUUUAAACAUGUUUUUUAUGAAGUUUGCACCGAAUGGGGGUUUUCAUAGGAUAUUUCGCCGACUUAAUUACUCAACCCACCCAUUGUUCACUUCAAAUUUUGAAGAACAAACAAGAUCUAACCGCUGAGCAAUCAACUUCUCUCUAACUAAAAGUCGGUCAACUUUGAUAUGGCAAAACCAAAGUAAAAUACAUAUACUUCAUCUGCUUUUUUGAGAGGAGUUUUCUUUUAGUUAGCUCAAUCCUUAAAUUUUGUAUUCCUAAAUUUGGUUUUCAAAAUGAUUUUACCCAUAAGAAUAAAUUUUAUAAAACCACAGUUCUUAGGACUAGGGUUUAAUCGGGUCUCAGUUAUCACUAAUAGUCUCACAGAAACACGGUUUUUCAGGUAGACUAUCUCAUAGAACCCAAAUCAGGUAGAUUAUGGUGUUUGAUGAUACUUCUGAC